This 468-nucleotide ribosomal RNA is filed under the name uncultured bacterium. RNAcentral's name for it is "partial 16S ribosomal RNA". It matches the Rfam family "Bacterial small subunit ribosomal RNA", at positions 28 to 507 of the family's 1533-position model. The record is from RNAcentral.
GACGAACGCUGGCGGCGUGCUUAACACAUGCAAGUCGAACGGAAAGGCCCUGCUUUUGUGGGGUGCUCGAGUGGCGAACGGGUGAGUAACACGUGAGUAACCUGCCCUUGACUUUGGGAUAACUUCAGGAAACUGGGGCUAAUACCGGAUAGGAGCUCCUGCUGCAUGGUGGGGGUUGGAAAGUUUCGGCGGUCGGGGAUGGACUCGCGGCUUAUCAGCUUGUUGGUGGGGUAGUGGCUUACCAAGGCUUUGACGGGUAGCCGGCCUGAGAGGGUGACCGGCCACAUUGGGACUGAGAUACGGCCCAGACUCCUACGGGAGGCAGCAGUGGGGAAUAUUGCACAAUGGGCGGAAGCCUGAUGCGGCAACGCCGCGUGCGGGAUGACGGCCUUCGGGUUGUAAACCGCUUUCGCCUGUGACGAAGCGUGAGUGACGGUAAUGGGUAAAGAAGCACCGGCUAACUACGUG